RNAcentral lists this ribosomal RNA (375 nucleotides) under uncultured bacterium. Its description in RNAcentral is "bacterial SSU rRNA". It matches the Rfam family "Bacterial small subunit ribosomal RNA", at positions 524 to 898 of the family's 1533-position model. The record is from RNAcentral.
UACGUAGGGUGCGAGCGUUGUCCGGAAUUAUUGGGCGUAAAGAGCUUGUAGGCGGAUCUACGAGUUUUUUGUUAAAGGCUACGGCUUAACUGUAGUAAGGCAGGAGAUACUGUAGGUCUGGAAUGCGGUAGGGGAAGACAGAAUUCCUGGUGUAGCGGUGGAAUGCGCAGAGAUCAGGAGGAAUACCGAAGGCGAAGGCAGUCUUCUAGGCCGUAAUUGACGCUUAACUGCGAAGGUGUGGGGAUCAAACAGGAUUAGAUACCCUGGUAGUCCACACAGUAAACGAUAAUCACUAGAUGUCGGGUUCUAGAUGGAUUCGGUGUCGGAGCUAACGCGAUAAGUGAUUCGCCUGGGGAGUACGAUCGCAAGGUUGAA